This 31-nucleotide non-coding RNA is filed under the name Mus musculus (house mouse). The record is from RNAcentral. Lineage: Eukaryota; Metazoa; Chordata; Mammalia; Rodentia; Muridae.
UGGAUGCAGGUCAUUGACCUCAUUAUAGGAG